AAGGAAACACUGGCAACAAAGCAAAAAAAGCUGACGCUGUAAAUGCGUAAAUCACAAUGCUUAUUAAUAUCACUUCCCCAUCAGUCAGGCACAAAAUAUGACCAUAAUUACACUUUAGCUUUCCAUAAACUAUUGUUGCUUUAGCC
Long non-coding RNA from Etheostoma spectabile (orangethroat darter), 146 nucleotides. RefSeq lists it as uncharacterized. The transcript has 3 exons. The record is from RefSeq and is a predicted model, not a curated record. NCBI's taxonomy places the organism in Eukaryota, Metazoa, Chordata, Actinopteri, Perciformes, Percidae.